AACCCAUAGUGAGGGCACCUUUUGAAAAGGUCUUUGUAUCUCUCCCAUGCAUCUAAAGUGUUUUUAAAUCCAUCUAAACAAAAGAAGAGAUAUCGUUACGUAAUUU
Molecule: non-coding RNA, 106 nt
Organism: Gossypium hirsutum (cotton)
Lineage: Eukaryota; Viridiplantae; Streptophyta; Magnoliopsida; Malvales; Malvaceae
Source: Rfam